GAACAUUCUCAGGGCGGGGUGGAAUUCCCCACCGGCGGUGACGCCGGGCCACGCGUGGCCCGGACGAGUCCGCGAGCGCUCCCGCAAGGGAGGUCAGCAGAUCCGGUUGGAACCCGGAACCGACGGUCAUAGUCCGGAUGGGAGAGAAGGAGA
This is a regulatory RNA element of Corynebacterium freneyi DNF00450, 153 nucleotides long. It matches the Rfam family "FMN riboswitch aptamer (RFN element)". From Rfam's summary of the family: The RFN element is a highly conserved domain that is found frequently in the 5'-untranslated regions of prokaryotic mRNAs that encode for flavin mononucleotide (FMN) biosynthesis and transport proteins. This element is a metabolite-dependent riboswitch that directly binds FMN in the absence of proteins. In Bacillus subtilis, the riboswitch most likely controls gene expression by causing premature transcription termination within the 5' untranslated region of the ribDEAHT operon and precluding access to the ribosome-binding site of ypaA mRNA. NCBI's taxonomy places the organism in Bacteria, Bacillati, Actinomycetota, Actinomycetes, Mycobacteriales, Corynebacteriaceae. The record is from Rfam.